This 21-nucleotide unclassified non-coding RNA is filed under the name Mus musculus (house mouse). RNAcentral's name for it is "oocyte_clustered_small_RNA14349". The record is from RNAcentral. Lineage: Eukaryota; Metazoa; Chordata; Mammalia; Rodentia; Muridae.
AGCCCCCGGAGGCUGGCAGGA